RNAcentral lists this long non-coding RNA (814 nucleotides) under Homo sapiens (human). RNAcentral's name for it is "non-protein coding lnc-PRDM4-6:4". The record is from RNAcentral. Lineage: Eukaryota; Metazoa; Chordata; Mammalia; Primates; Hominidae.
GUUCAGGCAUAGAAUAGCUUUCAGCUGGGCUCCAGUUCUUUGAUCUUGGAAAUCAGCUUCCCCAGGUGGCAAUUUGUCUUAAUCUCAUUCUUUUGAGAAACUAUUGAGCAGAAAGUGCACAAUAAACUCUCCUUUUGGGGUUCUGUCUUCAGUAAGUUGAAGCAGUGGGGGCAGCAGAUGUAGCCACAUUACAAGAUGGAUAGGACAUCUGCUUGCUUCUUGAAAGUGUGCAGCCUUUGCUGCUGCUGCUAGGGUGAAACAUACAUAAUAGUAAUGGAGAUCCAGGAGAUGAAAAUGAGAUGGCUCUCUUUAUUAAAAUAUAAUUCAAUAAAAGGUUUCCCUGUGGUUUUAGAUCAUUCAGUGGUGGGAGAGUUGAGAAUGGGAGAAUGAAAAACUGGGACUCAAGGGGCUGGGCUGGGGAAGAAAUUAGAGUUGUGAGCCAUGUCAACAUCCAAGGUCACCUCCACUGCGAAAACAAAAACAAGUAGCUCAGCAAAUGCACAGAAGCCAAGCCCAUUUCACUCCUCUACUGCAAAGUCCCAAAUAUCUCAUUGACUUUGGUUUCUGUCAAUCUGCUUUUUUUCCUGAAGUCAGAGCUUUUCUCGAGGCAACUUCUCUGAAUAGUUGAAAUUCUCAGAUAUACUUGUUGUAAUAUGUGGCUCUUAUUCAUAGUAGAAGUUUUUAUUUUACAUUAUGUCAUGUGUUUGUUUAUGUCAUGUAUUUCUUCUGCUUAAAGGGGAGGGUCUCAAGACAGACACCAUGACCCUCUUUCUACAAUACUGAUGAGUGAAAAAUGACUGAUAGUUAAGACAAU